UACAGAGGGGGCAAGCGUUAUUCGGAAUUAUUGGGCGUAAAGGGCGCGUAGGCGGCCUGACAAGUGGAAGGUGAAAUCCCUCGGCUUAACCGAGGAACUGCCCUCCAAACUGUUUGGCUUGAGACCGGGAGAGGUGAGUGGAAUUCCCAGUGUAGCGGUGAAAUGCGUAGAUAUUGGGAGGAACACCAGUGGCGAAGGCGGCUCACUGGACCGGUACUGACGCUGAGGCGCGAAAGCGUGGGGAGCAAACAGG
RNAcentral lists this ribosomal RNA (253 nucleotides) under uncultured bacterium. RNAcentral describes it as "partial 16S ribosomal RNA". It matches the Rfam family "Bacterial small subunit ribosomal RNA", at positions 524 to 776 of the family's 1533-position model. The record is from RNAcentral.